GGGGGUGUAGCUCAGUGGUAGAGUGCAUGUCUAACAUGCACAAGGUCCUGGGUUCAAUCCCCAGUACCUCCA
Molecule: transfer RNA, 72 nt
Organism: Camelus ferus (Wild Bactrian camel)
Lineage: Eukaryota; Metazoa; Chordata; Mammalia; Artiodactyla; Camelidae
Rfam family: tRNA
About the family: Transfer RNA (tRNA) molecules are approximately 80 nucleotides in length. Their secondary structure includes four short double-helical elements and three loops (D, anti-codon, and T loops).
Source: Rfam